RNAcentral lists this ribosomal RNA (2902 nucleotides) under Escherichia coli UMEA 3155-1. RNAcentral's name for it is "bacterial LSU rRNA". It matches the Rfam family "Bacterial large subunit ribosomal RNA". Lineage: Bacteria; Pseudomonadati; Pseudomonadota; Gammaproteobacteria; Enterobacterales; Enterobacteriaceae. The record is from RNAcentral.
UUAAGCGACUAAGCGUACACGGUGGAUGCCCUGGCAGUCAGAGGCGAUGAAGGACGUGCUAAUCUGCGAUAAGCGUCGGUGAGGUGAUAUGAACCGUUAUAACCGGCGAUUUCCGAAUGGGGAAACCCAGUGUGAUUCGUCACACUAUCAUUAACUGAAUCCAUAGGUUAAUGAGGCGAACCGGGGGAACUGAAACAUCUAAGUACCCCGAGGAAAAGAAAUCAACCGAGAUUCCCCCAGUAGCGGCGAGCGAACGGGGAGGAGCCCAGAGCCUGAAUCAGUGUGUGUGUUAGUGGAAGCGUCUGGAAAGGCGCGCGAUACAGGGUGACAGCCCCGUACACAAAAAUGCACAUAUUGUGAGCUCGAUGAGUAGGGCGGGACACGUGGUAUCCUGUCUGAAUAUGGGGGGACCAUCCUCCAAGGCUAAAUACUCCUGACUGACCGAUAGUGAACCAGUACCGUGAGGGAAAGGCGAAAAGAACCCCGGCGAGGGGAGUGAAAAAGAACCUGAAACCGUGUACGUACAAGCAGUGGGAGCCUCUUAAUGGGGUGACUGCGUACCUUUUGUAUAAUGGGUCAGCGACUUAUAUUCUGUAGCAAGGUUAACCGAAUAGGGGAGCCGAAGGGAAACCGAGUCUUAACUGGGCGUUAAGUUGCAGGGUAUAGACCCGAAACCCGGUGAUCUAGCCAUGGGCAGGUUGAAGGUUGGGUAACACUAACUGGAGGACCGAACCGACUAAUGUUGAAAAAUUAGGGGAUGACUUGUGGCUGGGGGUGAAAGGCCAAUCAAACCGGGAGAUAGCUGGUUCUCCCCGAAAGCUAUUUAGGUAGCGCCUCGUGAAUUCAUCUCCGGGGGUAGAGCACUGUUUCGGCAAGGGGGUCAUCCCGACUUACCAACCCGAUGCAAACUGCGAAUACCGGAGAAUGUUAUCACGGGAGACACACGGCGGGUGCUAACGUCCGUCGUGAAGAGGGAAACAACCCAGACCGCCAGCUAAGGUCCCAAAGUCAUGGUUAAGUGGGAAACGAUGUGGGAAGGCCCAGACAGCCAGGAUGUUGGCUUAGAAGCAGCCAUCAUUUAAAGAAAGCGUAAUAGCUCACUGGUCGAGUCGGCCUGCGCGGAAGAUGUAACGGGGCUAAACCAUGCACCGAAGCUGCGGCAGCGACACUAUGUGUUGUUGGGUAGGGGAGCGUUCUGUAAGCCUGUGAAGGUGGCCUGUGAGGGUUGCUGGAGGUAUCAGAAGUGCGAAUGCUGACAUAAGUAACGAUAAAGCGGGUGAAAAGCCCGCUCGCCGGAAGACCAAGGGUUCCUGUCCAACGUUAAUCGGGGCAGGGUGAGUCGACCCCUAAGGCGAGGCCGAAAGGCGUAGUCGAUGGGAAACAGGUUAAUAUUCCUGUACUUGGUGUUACUGCGAAGGGGGGACGGAGAAGGCUAUGUUGGCCGGGCGACGGUUGUCCCGGUUUAAGCGUGUAGGCUGGUUUUCCAGGCAAAUCCGGAAAAUCAAGGCUGAGGCGUGAUGACGAGGCACUACGGUGCUGAAGCGACAAAUGCCCUGCUUCCAGGAAAAGCCUCUAAGCAUCAGGUAACAUCAAAUCGUACCCCAAACCGACACAGGUGGUCAGGUAGAGAAUACCAAGGCGCUUGAGAGAACUCGGGUGAAGGAACUAGGCAAAAUGGUGCCGUAACUUCGGGAGAAGGCACGCUGAUAUGUAGGUGAAGCGACUUGCUCGUGGAGCUGAAAUCAGUCGAAGAUACCAGCUGGCUGCAACUGUUUAUUAAAAACACAGCACUGUGCAAACACGAAAGUGGACGUAUACGGUGUGACGCCUGCCCGGUGCCGGAAGGUUAAUUGAUGGGGUUAGCGGUAACGCGAAGCUCUUGAUCGAAGCCCCGGUAAACGGCGGCCGUAACUAUAACGGUCCUAAGGUAGCGAAAUUCCUUGUCGGGUAAGUUCCGACCUGCACGAAUGGCGUAAUGAUGGCCAGGCUGUCUCCACCCGAGACUCAGUGAAAUUGAACUCGCUGUGAAGAUGCAGUGUACCCGCGGCAAGACGGAAAGACCCCGUGAACCUUUACUAUAGCUUGACACUGAACAUUGAGCCUUGAUGUGUAGGAUAGGUGGGAGGCUUUGAAGUGUGGACGCCAGUCUGCAUGGAGCCGACCUUGAAAUACCACCCUUUAAUGUUUGAUGUUCUAACGUGGGCCCCUUACCGGGGUUGCGGACAGUGUCUGGUGGGUAGUUUGACUGGGGCGGUCUCCUCCUAAAGAGUAACGGAGGAGCACGAAGGUUGGCUAAUCCUGGUCGGACAUCAGGAGGUUAGUGCAAUGGCAUAAGCCAGCUUGACUGCGAGCGUGACGGCGCGAGCAGGUGCGAAAGCAGGUCAUAGUGAUCCGGUGGUUCUGAAUGGAAGGGCCAUCGCUCAACGGAUAAAAGGUACUCCGGGGAUAACAGGCUGAUACCGCCCAAGAGUUCAUAUCGACGGCGGUGUUUGGCACCUCGAUGUCGGCUCAUCACAUCCUGGGGCUGAAGUAGGUCCCAAGGGUAUGGCUGUUCGCCAUUUAAAGUGGUACGCGAGCUGGGUUUAGAACGUCGUGAGACAGUUCGGUCCCUAUCUGCCGUGGGCGCUGGAGAACUGAGGGGGGCUGCUCCUAGUACGAGAGGACCGGAGUGGACGCAUCACUGGUGUUCGGGUUGUCAUGCCAAUGGCACUGCCCGGUAGCUAAAUGCGGAAGAGAUAAGUGCUGAAAGCAUCUAAGCACGAAACUUGCCCCGAGAUGAGUUCUCCCUGACUCCUUGAGAGUCCUGAAGGAACGUUGAAGACGACGACGUUGAUAGGCCGGGUGUGUAAGCGCAGCGAUGCGUUGAGCUAACCGGUACUAAUGAACCGUGAGGCUUAACCUU